CGCAGCCGCGGUAAUUCCAGCUCCAAUAGCGUAUAUUAAAGUUGUUGCAGUUAAAAAGCUCGUAGUUGAAUUUCGAGAUCAAAUUGUUGGUCGUGCCUUGGUACGCACUGGCAUUAUUGGUUUCUCCCUUCUGACGAACCAUGAUGUCAUUAAUUUGGUGUCUUGGGGAAUCAGGGCUGUUACUUUGAAAAAAUUAGAGUGUUUAAAGCAGGCUCACGCUUGAAUACAUUAGCAUGGAAUAAUGAAAUAGGACGUUUGAUUCUAUUUUGUUGGUUUCUAGGAUCGACGUAAUGAUUAAUAGGGAUAGUUGGGGGGCAUUAGUAUUCAAUUGUCAGAGGUGAAAUUCUUGGAUUUAUUGAAGACUAACUACUGCGAAAGCAUCUGCCAAGGAUGUUUUCAUUAAUCAAGAACGAAAGUUAGGGGAUCGAAGACGAUCAGAUACCGUCGUAGUCUUAACCAUAAACUAUGCCGACUAGGGAUCGGAUGAUGUUAAUUUUUUAAUGACUCAUUCGGCGCCUUA
Molecule: ribosomal RNA, 520 nt
Filed under: uncultured Glomus
Lineage: Eukaryota; Fungi; Glomeromycota; Glomeromycetes; Glomerales; Glomeraceae
Description: SSU rRNA
Rfam family: Eukaryotic small subunit ribosomal RNA
Source: RNAcentral